AUUGAAUAAUACCAGAUUCUGGAUCCCGGUUUUCAUGCUCUGCAUAUGAAAUGCUUUGCCUUCAUGAGUGGAAUAAACGUAAACAGCAUAUAAAUACAAUAUAUAUAUAUAUAUAUAUAUAUAUAUAUAUAUAUAUAUAUAUAUAUAUAUAUGUACACACAUCAUACGAAUAAUUAAAUAUAUGUGCA
Octopus sinensis (East Asian common octopus) is the source of this 188-nucleotide long non-coding RNA. RefSeq lists it as uncharacterized. The transcript has 3 exons. The record is from RefSeq and is a predicted model, not a curated record. Lineage: Eukaryota; Metazoa; Mollusca; Cephalopoda; Octopoda; Octopodidae.